GUAGGGAAUAUUGGACAAUGGGCGAAAGCCUGAUCCAGCCAUGCCGCGUGAUAGAUGAAGGCCCUCUGGGUUGUAAAUAUCUUUUAUCUGGGAAGAAACUCCUCUAUUCUUAGAGGCCUGACGGUACCAGAGGAAUAAGCACCGGCUAACUCCGUGCCAGCAGCCGCGGUAAUACGGAGGGUGCAAGCGUUAUCCGGAUUCACUGGGUUUAAAGGGUGCGUAGGCGAGUUGAUAAGUCAGUGGUGAAAGCUCCGGGCUUAACUUGGAAACUGCCAUUGAUACUGUCAGUCUUGAAUGUCGUAGAGGUAAGCGGAAUGUUGCAUGUAGCGGUGAAAUGCUUAGAUAUGUUACAGAACACCAAUUGCGAAGGCAGCUUACUAUGCGAUAAUUGACGCUGAGGCACGAAAGCGUGGGGAGCAAACAGGAUUAGAUACCCGGGUAGUCC
Molecule: ribosomal RNA, 445 nt
Filed under: uncultured bacterium
Lineage: Bacteria
Description: bacterial SSU rRNA
Rfam family: Bacterial small subunit ribosomal RNA
Source: RNAcentral